This 585-nucleotide ribosomal RNA is filed under the name uncultured bacterium. RNAcentral's name for it is "bacterial SSU rRNA". It matches the Rfam family "Bacterial small subunit ribosomal RNA", at positions 338 to 916 of the family's 1533-position model. The record is from RNAcentral.
CCUACGGGAGGCAGCAGUAGGGAAUCUUCGGCAAUGGGCGAAAGCCUGACCGAGCAACGCCGCGUGAGCGAUGAAGGCCUUCGGGUCGUAAAGCUCUGUUGUUAGAGAAGAACAAGUACGAGAGUAACUGCUCGUACCUUGACGGUACCUAACCAGAAAGCCACGGCUAACUACGUGCCAGCAGCCGCGGUAAUACGUAGGUGGCAAGCGUUAUCCGGAAUUAUUGGGCGUAAAGCGCGCGCAGGCGGUCUCUUAAGUCUGAUGUGAAAGCCCACGGCUCAACCGUGGAGGGUCAUUGGAAACUGGGAGACUUGAGUGCAGGAGAGAAAAGUGGAAUUCCACGUGUAGCGGUGAAAUGCGUAGAGAUGUGGAGGAACACCAGUGGCGAAGGCGGCUUUUUGGCCUGUAACUGACGCUGAGGCGCGAAAGCGUGGGGAGCAAACAGGAUUAGAUACCCUGGUAGUCCACGCCGUAAACGAUGAGUGCUAGGUGUUGGGGGGUUCCACCCUCAGUGCUGAAGUUAACACAUUAAGCACUCCGCCUGGGGAGUACGACCGCAAGGUUGAAACGUUAAGGAAUUGACGG